RNAcentral lists this ribosomal RNA (492 nucleotides) under uncultured bacterium. RNAcentral's name for it is "partial 16S ribosomal RNA". It matches the Rfam family "Bacterial small subunit ribosomal RNA", at positions 29 to 507 of the family's 1533-position model. The record is from RNAcentral.
AGUGAACGCUGGCGGUAGGCCUAACACAUGCAAGUCGAACGGAAGCACAGUAAGAGCUUGCUCUUAAGGGUGGCGAGUGGCGGACGAGUGAGGCAUACAUCGGAAUCUACUUUUUCGUGGGGGAUAACGUAGGGAAACUUACGCUAAUACCGCAUACGACCUACGGGUGAAAGCAGGGGAUCUUCGGACCUUGCGCGAUUGAAUGAGCCGAUGUCGGAUUAGCUAGUUUGCGGGGUAAAGGCCCACCAAGGCGACGAUCCGUAGCUGGUCUGAGAGGAUGAUCAGCCACACUGGAACUGAGACAAGGUCCAGACUCCUAUGGGAGGGAGCAGGGGGGAAUAUUGGACAAUGGGGGGAAGCCUGAUCCAGCCAUACCGCGUGGGUGAAGAAGGCUUUCGGGUUGGAAAGCCCUUGUGUUGGGGAAGAAAAGCAGCAGGUUGAUACCCCGCUGUUCUGACGGUACCCAAAGAAUAAGCACCGGCUAACUUCGUG